ACGAAGGGUCCAAGCGUUGUUCGGAAUCAUUGGGCGUAAAGCGCGCGCAGGCGGAUCAGUAAGUCAGGUGUGAAAUCUCGAGGCUCAACCUCGAUACUGCGCCUGAAACUACUAGUCUAGAGUGUCGGAGGGGGUAGGGGAAUUUCACGUGUAGGGGUAAAAUCCGUAGAGAUGUGAAGGAACACCGGAGGCGAAGGCGCCUACCUGGACGACUACUGACGCUGAGGCGCGAAAGCGUGGGGAGCAAACAGGA
RNAcentral lists this ribosomal RNA (253 nucleotides) under uncultured prokaryote. RNAcentral describes it as "partial 16S ribosomal RNA". It matches the Rfam family "Bacterial small subunit ribosomal RNA", at positions 525 to 777 of the family's 1533-position model. The record is from RNAcentral.